This 733-nucleotide ribosomal RNA is filed under the name uncultured Bacilli bacterium. RNAcentral's name for it is "bacterial SSU rRNA". It matches the Rfam family "Bacterial small subunit ribosomal RNA", at positions 70 to 776 of the family's 1533-position model. The record is from RNAcentral. Lineage: Bacteria; Bacillati; Bacillota; Bacilli.
UUUUCUUUCACCGGAGCUUGCUCCACCGAAAGAAAAGGAGUGGCGAACGGGUGAGUAACACGUGGGUAACCUGCCCAUCAGAAGGGGAUAACACUUGGAAACAGGUGCUAAUACCGUAUAACAAUCGAAACCGCAUGGUUUCGGUUUGAAAGGCGCUUUUGCGUCACUGAUGGAUGGACCCGCGGUGCAUUAGCUAGUUGGUGAGGUAACGGCUCACCAAGGCAACGAUGCAUAGCCGACCUGAGAGGGUGAUCGGCCACAUUGGGACUGAGACACGGCCCAAACUCCUACGGGAGGCAGCAGUAGGGAAUCUUCGGCAAUGGACGGAAGUCUGACCGAGCAACGCCGCGUGAGUGAAGAAGGUUUUCGGAUCGUAAAACUCUGUUGUUAGAGAAGAACAAGGAUGAGAGUAGAAUGUUCAUCCCUUGACGGUAUCUAACCAGAAAGCCACGGCUAACUACGUGCCAGCAGCCGCGGUAAUACGUAGGUGGCAAGCGUUGUCCGGAUUUAUUGGGCGUAAAGCGAGCGCAGGCGGUUUCUUAAGUCUGAUGUGAAAGCCCCCGGCCCAACCGGGGAGGGUCAUUGGAAACUGGGAAACUUGAGUGCAGAAGAGGAGAGUGGAAUUCCAUGUGUAGCGGUGAAAUGCGUAGAUAUAUGGAGGAACACCAGUGGCGAAGGCGGCUCUCUGGUCUGUAACUGACGCUGAGGCUCGAAAGCGUGGGGAGCAAACAGG